This 460-nucleotide ribosomal RNA is filed under the name uncultured bacterium. RNAcentral describes it as "partial 16S ribosomal RNA". It matches the Rfam family "Bacterial small subunit ribosomal RNA", at positions 338 to 795 of the family's 1533-position model. The record is from RNAcentral.
CCUACGGGAGACAGCAGUGAGGAAUAUUGGUCAAUGGACGAGAGUCUGAACCAGCCAAGUAGCGUGAAGGAUGACUGCCCUAUGGGUUGUAAACUUCUUUUAUAUGGGAAUAAACUGUUCCACGUGUGGGAGUUUGUAUGUACCAUAUGAAUAAGGAUCGGCUAACUCCGUGCCAGCAGCCGCGGUAAUACGGAGGAUCCGAGCGUUAUCCGGAUUUAUUGGGUUUAAAGGGAGCGUAGGUGGAUUGUUAAGUCAGUUGUGAAAGUUUGCGGCUCAACCGUAAAAUUGCAGUUGAAACUGGCAGUCUUGAGUACAGUAGAGGUGGGCGGAAUUCGUGGUGUAGCGGUGAAAUGCUUAGAUAUCACGAAGAACUCCGAUUGCGAAGGCAGCUCACUGGACUGUAACUGACACUGAUGCUCGAAAGUGUGGGUAUCAAACAGGAUUAGAUACCCGGGUAGUC